GCACCCGUAGCUCAAUUGGAUAGAGCAUCUGGCUACGGACCAGAAGGUUGCAGGUUCGAGUCCUACCGGGUGCACCA
This 77-nucleotide transfer RNA is filed under the name Lentisphaeria bacterium. RNAcentral's name for it is "tRNA-Arg". It matches the Rfam family "tRNA". Rfam says of the family: Transfer RNA (tRNA) molecules are approximately 80 nucleotides in length. Their secondary structure includes four short double-helical elements and three loops (D, anti-codon, and T loops). The record is from RNAcentral. Lineage: Bacteria; Pseudomonadati; Lentisphaerota; Lentisphaeria.